AUUUCUAGAGUCUGCUGACAAGCAUGGGAGAUGGGCUUUAUGAGGCAGAAUGAAUCACUAUCUGAUGGCAAUAGAAAGUUGUGGGUGAACUGUAAGGGGCUGGGAGAUACCCCUGAUCCCCUGAUCCCCUGAUCCGAUUUGUGUCUUGGCAAUGUGGUAUUGAAGAAGCUGACCUUUGAAUUUACAGAACAUCCUCAACAUAUACUUUGUUUCAGCAUAAAGUUCCAUAACCUUAUUAUAUAGUAAGUUCUGAUUAUGUGAAAACAGAAUAAGGGAGCUGUACAAUAUCCUGAUAAGAUUCCAUCCUGUGAAGUCAGUGUGGACCAGCUUUAAUAUGCAGAACCUGGAGAAGACUCUUUAUUGGAAGGAGUGUGUUUAGUGUCAGAGGACAUUAAAAGGCACCCUGUGAAGAGGGAGUCCUGGGAGAAAGGAAUGAGAAGCUAAGGAAUGUUCUCUCUGGGACACUACCUCACUAUGUUUUUUCACAGACACAAUUUGCCAAAAUUGCCUGACUUUAAAGCCUGGUUGAAGGAG
Peromyscus maniculatus bairdii (prairie deer mouse) is the source of this 534-nucleotide non-coding RNA. The record is from RefSeq and is a predicted model, not a curated record. Lineage: Eukaryota; Metazoa; Chordata; Mammalia; Rodentia; Cricetidae.